UACGAAGGGACCUAGCGUAGUUCGGAAUUACUGGGCUUAAAGAGUUCGUAGGUGGUUGAAAAAGUUGGUGGUGAAAUCCCAGAGCUUAACUCUGGAACUGCCAUCAAAACUUUUCGGCUAGAGUAUGAUAGAGGAAAGCAGAAUUUCUAGUGUAGAGGUGAAAUUCGUAGAUAUUAGAAAGAAUACCAAUUGCGAAGGCAGCUUUCUGGAUCAUUACUGACACUGAGGAACGAAAGCAUGGGUAGCGAAGAGGAUUAGAUACCCUCGUAGUCCAUGCCGUAAACGAUGUGUGUUAGACGUUGGAAAUUUAUUUUCAGUGUCGCAGCGAAAGCGAUAAACACACCGCCUGGGGAGUACGACCGCAAGGUUAAAACUCAAAUGAAUUGACGGGGACCCGCACAAGUAGUGGAGCAUGUGGUUUAAUUCGAAGAUACGCGCAGAACCUUACCAACACUUGACAUGUUCGUCGCGACUCUAAGAGAUUAGAGUUUUCGGUUCGGCCGGACGAAACACAGGUGCUGCAUGGCUGUCGUCAGCUCGUGUCGUGAGAUGUUGGGUUAAGUCCCGCAACGAGCGCAACCCUCACUUUUAGUUGCCAUCAUUAAGUUGGGCGCUCUGAAAGAACUGCCAGUGAUAAGCUGGAGGAAGGUGGGGAUGACGUCAAGUCCUCAUGGCCCUUACGUGUUGGGCUACACACGUGCUACAAUGGUAUCUACAACAGGAAGCAAGACUGCGAAGUUAAGCAAAUCCCUAAAAGAUACCUCAGUUCGGAUUGCACUCUGCAACUCGAGUGCAUGAAGCUGGAAUUACUAGUAAUCGUGGAUCAGCGUGCCACGGUGAAUGCGUUCCCGGGUCU
RNAcentral lists this ribosomal RNA (856 nucleotides) under uncultured bacterium. RNAcentral describes it as "SSU rRNA". It matches the Rfam family "Bacterial small subunit ribosomal RNA", at positions 524 to 1381 of the family's 1533-position model. The record is from RNAcentral.